AGUGAACGCUGGCGGUAGGCCUAACACAUGCAAGUCGAACGGCAGCACAGUAAGAGCUUGCUCUUACGGGUGGCGAGUGGCGGACGGGUGAGGAAUACAUCGGAAUCUACUUUUUCGUGGGGGAUAACGUAGGGAAACUUACGCUAAUACCGCAUACGACCUACGGGUGAAAGCAGGGGAUCUUCGGACCUUGCGCGAUUGAAUGAGCCGAUGUCGGAUUAGCUAGUUGGCGGGGUAAAGGCCCACCAAGGCGACGAUCCGUAGCCGGUCUGAGAGGAUGAUCAGCCACACUGGAACUGAGACACGGUCCAGACUCCUACGGGAGGCAGCAGUGGGGAAUAUUGGACAAUGGGCGCAAGCCUGAUCCAGCCAUACCGCGUGGGUGAAGAAGGCCUUCGGGUUGUAAAGCCCUUUUGUUGGGAAAGAAAAGCAGCAGGUUAAUACCCCGCUGUUCUGACGGUACCCGAAGAAUAAGCACCGGCUAACUUCGU
RNAcentral lists this ribosomal RNA (491 nucleotides) under uncultured bacterium. RNAcentral describes it as "partial 16S ribosomal RNA". It matches the Rfam family "Bacterial small subunit ribosomal RNA", at positions 29 to 506 of the family's 1533-position model. The record is from RNAcentral.